Long non-coding RNA from Salvelinus fontinalis (brook trout), 1321 nucleotides. RefSeq lists it as uncharacterized. The record is from RefSeq and is a predicted model, not a curated record. The transcript is spliced from 4 exons. NCBI's taxonomy places the organism in Eukaryota, Metazoa, Chordata, Actinopteri, Salmoniformes, Salmonidae.
AAGGCUGAGAUGUCCUCUGGCUUGGAGGGUGUGGCGUUUUUGGGCAGCAGCACUCGGAAUUGCUCGAUGAAUUCCUAUUUAUGAGAGCUUAUGCCUGACCAUACCAUGCCUCCAUAAGGCACUCCGUUCACACAACGCCAUACACUGUCUGCCAUCUGCCCGGUACAGUUGAAACCGAGAUUCAUCCGUGAAGAGCACACUUCUCCAGCAUGCCAAUGGCCAUUGAAGGUGAGAAUUUGCCCACUGAAGUUUCUUACAACACCAAACUGUAGUCAGGUCAAGACCCUGGUGAGUAUGACAAGCAAGCAGAUUAGCUUCCCUGAGACGGUUUCUGACAGUUUGUGCAGAAAUCUUUGGUUGUGCAAACCCACAAUUUAUCAGCUGUCCGGGUGGCUGGUCUCAGACGAUCCUGGAAGUGAAGAAGCCGGAUGUAGAGGAUCUGGGCUGGCAUGGUUACACAUGGUCUGCAGUUGUGAGGCCGGUUGGUUUUACUGCCAAAUUAUCUAAACAAUGUUGGAGGCGGCUUAUGGUAGAGAAAUUAACAUUCAAUUAUGUAGCAACAGCUCUGGUUGACAUUCCUGCAGUCAGCAUGCCAAUUGCACGCUCCCUCAAAACUUGGGACAUCUAUGUUAUUGUGUUGUGAGACAAACUGCACAUUUUUAGAGUGUUUCUUUUAUUAUCCCCAACACAAGGUGCAUCUGUGUAAUGAUCAUGCUGUUUAAUCAGCUUCUUGAUGCAAGACACCUGUCAGGUGGAUGGAUUAUCUUUGCAAAGGAGAAAUGCUCAGAUGUAAACAAAUAUAUGCCCAAAAUGUGAGAGAAAUAAGCUUUUGUGAGUAUGGGACCAACACUUUACAUGUUACGUUUAUACUUUUGUUCAGUAUAUAUGUCAAAGUUACGGUUAGCUAUUGGUAAAUAAUCAACAACAGAUAUUGCUUCCUUCCCGGUGUCUGCUGGCUAUCUGAGUCAGUGAACAGGUACAGUGUACCUGGAAGGUGUACUUGGCUCCAUAGCCAGACCUUCGGAUGCGAACCGUCUCCAGCAUGCCUGUGUAGCGCAGCUGCUGCAGCACCAGGGUCUCAUUCAGACACAUCUCCUUCUGUACACACAGACACACAGCACGUCGUUAGAGGAACGAACUCAAUCAUUUUCAUCAUCUUGGUUAGUUGGAGCGAAUACAGCGGACGAAGAAGGGCUCUGCUCUGCCCAGAUUCUCCAGCAGCUUUGUCAGAGAGGUGUAUGUUAGUGGCUGCAGUAUUUGUUGAUGAGAUCAGCUGACCUGGAACUGAGCGCUGAUGCUGGGGGUCUUCUUCUUCUUGUUG